CAAAAUUUUCCCGAUCUUGUAGUUGUGCUCUUUUAUGGUCAAAUUUCAGUUGAAUCCACGACUGACAAUGCCAGUUAGUUGCAGUUUCUGUUUUGUCUUUUUAAACCUUCUUGUCGCCUGUGAAGCAUAAUCUCUUAUUCUUAUGGUGAUGUCUGACGAGGUGAUUCAGUUGGAUAUUGCACUCAACUCCUGAUUUUUUUUUUCAGCUUUUCUUUUGUAAAUGUUCAGUCCAGUGUCUUCCUUUUCUAGGCUCUUGAAACUUUUGUCAACUGCACUGUCCAGUCUCCACCUUUAUACUGAGGCCAGUGGGGCCGUGGAGGAACCACGAAUCUUGCUUAGGGGGUUCCCAAACUCGAGAGAAGAAUUUUCAAUCAUUAAUGUUAUUGCUAUUCUAUUAAGUUUUUACUACACAAUUUUUGGUUCAACUAAACUAUACCGAAACACAUAGUUAGGACAAACAAUCCAAUACAAUUUAUGGUUAUAUUUAACUUGAUUAGGGUCUUACAGAGAUUAAAACUUUGAGGGGUGUCACAUUUCACGUGGUCACGUGGACAAAGGUUCUUGUGUUUUUCCUGUCUCCUAUUUUAGACAAGGAAAAAGAUAUUUGGUUAAUUUUCUUCUUCUGAGAUAUAAUUACUCAGGCUUUACAUUAGAAAUGUUGAUCUCACAAGAAUUGCGUGUGUCCAGGUAAAGAAAGUUGCAUCACAUAUUCACAUGUUGUCAAACACAUCCAUUUAUAGACCAGUGUACACAUCACUAGCUUCCUUUUUUUCAUAACAUUGACCUAUGUGGAUGACUGCAUCCAUUUGUGUCUGAUUUUUCACAUUUAUCAUGGCCUCCUUUGGAAUAAGAUUUCUGUAGCUGCCAUGGCUGUUGAAUGUCUUGCUCCCCUUGUACCUUGUGUGGAUACUUGCAUCAAGGACUGCCUACGUUUUUGUUAUGAUACCCUUGUUUUUGUGGUAAGAGGAUUCGUAUACUGCUUAAAUGUACUGUGCUUUGGUAAUAAUCAUUGUGAAGAGAAAAUCUUAAUUGACCUCAUAAGAUGGUGUCCUUUGUUUUCGAGAGCAAUAUUGGUUUAAAUUUGGCAGUUAAAACUAAGGAAUCAGGAGAUGCACACCUUGCACCGUCGUUAUGCUUGGUUGUAGAGUUUCUCUCUCUAAUAUGAACCAUCACUGUGUUUACUUGGGUAGUGCAGUUUCUCCUAAGUUAAAUGGUUAAUCAAAACUCGAUAUUGAAACUGAA
Rhododendron vialii is the source of this 1242-nucleotide long non-coding RNA. RefSeq lists it as uncharacterized. The transcript is spliced from 2 exons. NCBI's taxonomy places the organism in Eukaryota, Viridiplantae, Streptophyta, Magnoliopsida, Ericales, Ericaceae. The record is from RefSeq and is a predicted model, not a curated record.